This is a non-coding RNA of Dipodomys ordii (Ord's kangaroo rat), 69 nucleotides long. Lineage: Eukaryota; Metazoa; Chordata; Mammalia; Rodentia; Heteromyidae. The record is from Rfam.
GGGAAGGUGGCUCAGUGGUAGAGUGUUUGCCUUACAUGCAUGAGGACCUGAGUUUGAUUCCUCAGCUCA